AUUGAACGCUGGCGGCAGGCCUAACACAUGCAAGUCGAACGGUAGCACAGAGAGCUUGCUCUCGGGUGACGAGUGGCGGACGGGUGAGUAACGUCUGGGAAACUGCCCGAUGGAGGGGGAUAACUACUGGAAACGGUAGCUAAUACCGCAUAACGUCGCAAGACCAAAGUGGGGGACCUUCGGGCCUCACACCAUCGGAUGUGCCCAGGUGGGAUUAGCUAGUAGGUGGGGUAAUGGCUCACCUAGGCGACGAUCCCUAGCUGGUCUGAGAGGAUGACCGGCCACACUGGAACUGAGACACGGUCCAGACUCCUACGGGAGGCAGCAGUGGGGAAUAUUGCACAAUGGGCGCAAGCCUGAUGCAGCCAUGCCGCGUGUAUGAAGAAGGCCUUCGGGUUGUAAAGUACUUUCAGCGGGGAGGAAGGCGGUGAAGUUAACAGCUUCACCGAUUGACGUUACCCGCAGAAGAAGCACCGGCUAACUCCGUGCCAGCCGCCGCCGUAA
RNAcentral lists this ribosomal RNA (504 nucleotides) under uncultured bacterium. RNAcentral's name for it is "partial 16S ribosomal RNA". It matches the Rfam family "Bacterial small subunit ribosomal RNA", at positions 29 to 523 of the family's 1533-position model. The record is from RNAcentral.